Molecule: ribosomal RNA, 256 nt
Filed under: uncultured bacterium
Lineage: Bacteria
Description: partial 16S ribosomal RNA
Rfam family: Bacterial small subunit ribosomal RNA
Source: RNAcentral
UACGUAGGGUGCAAGCGUUAAUCGGAAGUUACUGGGCGUAAAGCGUGCGCAGGCGGUGAUGUAAGGACAGUUGUGAAAUCCCCGGGCUCAACCUGGGAACUGCAUCUGUGACUGCAUCGCUGGAGUACGGUAGAGGGGAUGGAAUUCCGCGUGUAGCAGUGAAAUGCGUAGAUAUGCGGAGGAACACCGGAUGGCGAAGGCAAUCCCCUGGACCUGUACUGACGCUCAUGCACCGAAAGCGUGGGGAGCAAACAGG